UUACGGCCACAUUAAGUUGAAACAUCAGUUCCCGCACGAUCAGCGAAGUUAAGCAACGUCGAAACUGGUCGGUACUUAGGUGGGUGACCGCACUGGAAUAGCAGGUGCUGUAA
Molecule: non-coding RNA, 113 nt
Organism: Acanthosepion pharaonis
Lineage: Eukaryota; Metazoa; Mollusca; Cephalopoda; Sepiida; Sepiidae
Source: the annotation of a GenBank genome assembly